AGGAGGGCGGUCCAAAGUAUUUAUUGAACAACCAGGCAGUGGGCAGGCUCGUAGUGGUGGACAGGCAGGGUUCGUUAUCGGGCGUUCAGAUGGUCGAAGGUACAGGAGUGGGCAGGCAGGCUCGUGGUAGGGGACAGGCAGGGUUUGUUGUCGGGCGGUCAGAUGGUCGAAGGUACAGGAUAGGGCAGGCAGGCUCGUGGUGGGGGACAGGCAGUGUUCGUUCUCGGGCGUUCGGAUGGUCGAAGGUACAGGAGUGGGCAGGCAGGCUCGUGGUAGGGGACAGGCAGGGUUUGUUGUUGGGCGGUCAGAUGGUCGAAGGUACAGGAGUGGGCAGGCAGGCUCGUAAUCCGGAAAACAGGCAAGGGUCGUAACCGGGGAAUAGAAGGACGGGUAGACUGGCUGAUGAACACAUAGAACGCUGGAAACGACUGUACAGGACAAGACGAUCUGGCAACUGCCAAACAGAGAACAGGGUUUAAAUACACGGGGCUAAUAGGGAACCGGGAACACCUGGUGAGGGGCGGGGACAAAACAACAGGUGAAACACAUCAGGGUGUGACACCAUGUGAAUAAAAAAAGAUUUGCCAGAUGCAAAAUAAGCAACAACGUCAAAUUUAAUUUGUUAUUUUAAGAACCACAAGGAAAGGUAAGAAAGUAAUCUCUUUAUAUUCAGUUUCACUAAGAUCUAUAACGAUUAAGUUAC
Long non-coding RNA from Esox lucius (northern pike), 703 nucleotides. The record is from Ensembl. Lineage: Eukaryota; Metazoa; Chordata; Actinopteri; Esociformes; Esocidae.